GAUGAACGCUGGCGGCGUGCCUAAUACAUGCAAGUCGUACGGAAAGGCCCUUCGGGGUACUCGAGUGGCGGACGGCUGAGUAACGCGUGGGAACGUGCCCCACAGUGAGGGAUAACUCACUGAAAGGUGUGCUAAUACCGCAUAUGGUCUUCGGAUUAAAGCUUCGGCGCUUUGGGAGCGGCCCGCGUACGAUUAGAUAGUUGGUGAGGUAAUGGCUCACCAAGUCGACGAUCGUUAGUUGGUCUGAGAGGAUGAUCAGCCAGACUGGGACUGAGACACGGCCCAGACUCCUACGGGAGGCAGCAGUAAGGAAUCUUCCACAAUGGGGGCAAACCUGAUGGAGCAACGCCGCGUACAGGAUGAAGGUUUUCGGAUCGUAAACUGCUUUUAUAAGUGAAGAAUAUGACGGUAACUUAUGAAUAAGGAUCGGCUAACUACGUGCCAGCCGCCGCAGUAA
RNAcentral lists this ribosomal RNA (457 nucleotides) under uncultured bacterium. Its description in RNAcentral is "partial 16S ribosomal RNA". It matches the Rfam family "Bacterial small subunit ribosomal RNA", at positions 28 to 523 of the family's 1533-position model. The record is from RNAcentral.